This 19-nucleotide small nuclear RNA is filed under the name Arabidopsis thaliana (thale cress). RNAcentral's name for it is "snRNA_04555". The record is from RNAcentral. Lineage: Eukaryota; Viridiplantae; Streptophyta; Magnoliopsida; Brassicales; Brassicaceae.
GGAUUCCCUUAGUAACGGC